RNAcentral lists this ribosomal RNA (774 nucleotides) under uncultured Neocallimastigales. RNAcentral's name for it is "partial large subunit ribosomal RNA". It matches the Rfam family "Eukaryotic large subunit ribosomal RNA", at positions 24 to 614 of the family's 3401-position model. The record is from RNAcentral. Lineage: Eukaryota; Fungi; Neocallimastigomycota; Neocallimastigomycetes; Neocallimastigales.
UAUGUGAUCGUCUCUCGCAUAUCAAUAAGCGGAGGAAAAGAAACUAACAAGGAUUCCCCUAGUAACGGCGAGUGAAGCGGGAAGAGCUCAAAUUUGAAAUCUUAAAGGGUUUCCCUUGACGAAUUGUAGUUUAAAGAAGUGUUUUCUGUUGAAGUUUUGGUAAAAGUUCUUUGGAAUAGGACAUCAUAGAGGGUGAGAAUCCCGUAUUUGACCUUUACUUUCAACUUUGUGAUACACUUUCAAAGAGUCGGAUUGUUUGGGAAUGCAGUCCAAAAUGGGUGGUAAAUUUCAUCUAAAGCUAAAUAUUGGCGAGAGACCGAUAGCGAACAAGUACCGUGAGGGAAAGAUGAAAGGAACUUUGAAAAGAGAGUUAAACAGUACGUGAAAUUGUCAAAAGGGAAGCGUUUGACACCAGUGUUGUUUUUCUGAAAAUCAAUUAAAGAACUGUUUAUGCUAAGUUGUUUAGACUUUAUCAGCUAACUGUUUAGUUUUGAGCUUUUCUUUAAUGCACUUUUCAGUUAACAAGUCAACAUCAAUUUCUUUUGCUGUAAAAAAGCUUGAGGAAGGUGGCUUGAGAUUCGUCUUAAGUGUUUAUAGCCUCUUGCCUAUGCAGUCGGAGAGAUUGAGGUCUGCAGCGUAGAUCCUUCGGGGCUAAAUGCAUUUGUGCUAAGUUAUAGCAUUUUAUAGACAACUUGUUGACUAUGAUUUGUCUUGUAGCUUACUCGCUUAUGUUAUUUUACCUACGCUUAGGAUGUUGAGUCAUCACACAUCUCU